UCGGCGGGGAGAGCGGUGCUGGGAGUCGUGGGGAAGUGGAGGAGCCUGAAGAUGUGGAGCUGAAAGCUCAGCUUUCUGCUGCUGUUCCUUUCUCCUGGCUGCUCCCUGUAGCCCAGCAGCCAGAGCACCUCCAUCCCUACUGAGGAUGCCAGUUUCAGUGAAUGAUGUGCCCUGUGCCAACUUUGAAGCCAACAUAUUUGCAAGGAGCCUGUGCCAACACUGCUUCCGUGCCUCAAGGGUUCACCCACAUGCUGUCCAGGAGCAUGACGCAGAGGUGGCGGGGCAAGGCACCAACGCAGACCCAGGUGGGCCCUGGGAUGCCGUCCGCAUCGUAGCACCACAGUGCGAGGUGUACGUCUGCGUGGGUCGGGCAGACGGCGCGGAGCGCUGGCACCAAAGCAGGGCACAGCCCCCACUCAGCCCCAGCACUGUGGGCCAGCAUGGAGAAACCAGCACCGAGCCCCACAGCCACACUGAAGGCAGGGGCUGGGAGAUGACCAGGCUAUUGGAUACCACUUUGGGAUCAGGCAAGCGGGACACAAUGAGCUACAGGGGCCACAAGGAUAAUGCAAAGCUGCAGGUGGACAGAGCCAGGUGGGGUCAGCCCCUUCCUUCUGGAUCCUGGGUGAGGACAGAGGCUCCGAGCUUUAGGAAAGAAGUCUGUGUGCCAAAAGCAGAGCGUGCUCCUGCCAGCCAUAAGCCCAAGGAGGGCUGGGCAAAGCAUCGCAUAGAGAGUGGCUAUUUCUCCUUGGAACCUCGAAAACCUGACCCUUCCUGGGCUUCCUCUGUACCACGUCCCGGCCGCAGCUCCUCUCCUGGUCCAGGCAGCAGCAGGCAUUUGGCAUCCUCUCCCAGGGCUGGGGAGCCACGUGGGCAUCCCAGUGCUGGGGGCACAGAGGGGAAGCGUGUGCUGGAGAGGCAGGAGUACACGGUGCUGGCAGACCUGCCCAAACCCAAGCGCCUUGGCCGUGGGGAUGCUGCUGACCGCUGUGGCUCCCGCACGCUCAGCCCUGGCCGAGUGGAGGUGGAGAGGAUAUUUGGUUGUGAGCGCAGGAAAUCUGAGACGUUGGAGGCUUUCCAGGCACUGGAGGAGGGCCGUGUGGAGCGGCUGGAUGGCAAGACCCCAGUGCCACCCAGCAAAGGCAGAGUCAUUCGGAGGCAGUCCAGCCCCAGCCUGCCCAGGGAGGGUCAGCGGCUCUCCUGGCACCCUGAGCCACGCAGCAGAGAUUCCAAGGAGCCCCGGCGCUCCCCCAGCCCGGCUCGGCAAACAGAGAGGGCUGGGGUCCCCCUGCGCCCCAUGUGCCCAUCUCCACGGGUGGAGAGAGACUGGAGGAAGCCCCAGGAGCCCACAAGUCCUACUCAACGGCUGGAGAGGGGAGGCAGCAGCCCGCGUUCCCCCAGCCCACGUUCCCCCAGCCCGCGCUCCCCCAGCCCACGCUCCCCCCCCCCAGCUCCUAGGUUGGAACGGAGGCCAGGAGGAGCUCAGAGCCCUUCCCAGCACACAGAGAAGGACUGGAGGAACAGAGGAGAGAGGAGCCAAGUUGCCUGGCAGGUUGCAAGCAUGGGGAAAACCGCCGAGAGAAAAAGCUGGGGGAACACCCUGCACCCCCCGAGCCUUGGGAAGAGCAUGGAUGGAGGCAAGCUGGGAGGAGCCUGGCAACCACGCUCCAUGAGUCCUACAGGACGGACAGACGGCACAUGGAAAAGCCAAAAGAUCUCUCAGCCUGGCCUUGCACAGGGGGCAGAGAGACAACGGGGGAACCCAUCCGGGAAGCAGCUGGAGUGCAGCUGGAGGAGCCUCCGGGAUAAACUGCAGCCUCCCCAUGCUGGGAAGUGCACAGACAAUGAGUGGAAAGGUCGAGGGAAGCCCUUGCGUCCCAUGAGCCCAACGCGGCCACCAGAGCAAAAAAAAGCAGGAAUGGAAGGGCCAUGGGGAUGCCCGCCAGGCUCAGAAGGCAGAGAAAGACUGGAGGGCGCAGGAGAAAACACCGUGCCACAUGGACUUGAUGCAGCAGCUGGAAAGGGACUGGAGGAGCCCUGCUAGGUAUGCAGAUGUCUGGCCACGGCCGGAUGACAGCUGGAGGAGGCCUGAGAGCCCAGCACAGAAACUGGAGGAUGAUUGGAAGGGGGCUGAGCACAGCCACGACUCAAACAACCCAGAGAAACCAUUGGAAAGCGAUUGGGAGAACAAGAAAUUCCUUGUAUAUCACGUGAGUAUAGAAUCACUGCAACUACUGCUCACUAAUCGUGUCCCUCAGUGCCACAUCCACAUGGUUCUGGAACACCUCCAGGGACGGUGACUGCACCACCUCCCUGGGCAGCCUGUGCCACUGCAGUACUGCCUCAUAUCCAACCUGAACCUCCCCUGGGGGAACUUGAGGCCAUUCCCUUUCACCCUAUCGCUGUUAGCUGGGAGAACAGGUCAAACCCCACCUCACCACAACCUCCCUUCAGGUUGUUGUAAAGAGAGACAAGGUCUCCCCUGAGCUCCUCUUCUGCAGACCGAACAACCCCAGUUCCCUCAGCUGCUCCCCAUCAGAUUUGUGCUCCAGACCCCUCACAGCUCUGCUGCCUUUCUUGGACACACUCCAGGGCCUCCGUGUCUUUCUGGUAGUGAAGGGAGUAGGUCAGGGGGGUGAAAAUGGAAAUGGCAGGGACCUGGCUGCCAGGUGUGGAACCAGCACACACUUUUCCUGAGGUCUGAGGAGCAGUGUUUCUGCUCCAGCACUGGGAGACACGGGAGGAGAUGGACACAGAGACUCAGGCUCAGCUCUCCCUUUCUCUCCCCGCAGUCGCAGCUGGGGGGGAGCUCCAGCGCACCGCAGAGCUCCUCGGGAAGCCGGCUUCCACACCCGCUGG
RNAcentral lists this long non-coding RNA (2859 nucleotides) under Chrysolophus pictus (golden pheasant). Its description in RNAcentral is "lncRNA (ENSCPIG00010010325.1)". Lineage: Eukaryota; Metazoa; Chordata; Aves; Galliformes; Phasianidae. The record is from RNAcentral.